UUGGACAAUGGGGGCAACCCUGAUCCAGCCAUCCCGCGUGUGCGAUGAAGGCCUUCGGGUUGUAAAGCACUUUUGGCAGGGAAGAAACAGCCUGGGCUAAUAUCCCGGGCGACUGACGGUACCUGCAGAAUAAGCACCGGCUAACUACGUGCCAGCAGCCGCGGUAAUACGUAGGGUGCAAGCGUUAAUCGGAAUUACUGGGCGUAAAGCGUGCGCAGGCGGUUCGGAAAGAAAGGUGUGAAAUCCCAGGGCUUAACCUUGGAACUGGCCUCUUAACUACCGGGCUAGAGUACGUCAGAGGGGGGUAGAAUUCCACUUGUAGCAGUGGAAUGCGUAGAGAUGUGGAGGAAUACCGAUGGCGAAGGCAGCCCCCUGGGAUGAUACUGACGCUCAUGCACGAAAGCGUGGGG
This 410-nucleotide ribosomal RNA is filed under the name uncultured bacterium. RNAcentral describes it as "bacterial SSU rRNA". It matches the Rfam family "Bacterial small subunit ribosomal RNA", at positions 364 to 766 of the family's 1533-position model. The record is from RNAcentral.